GCUGAAAAGCUACGUUCACAAGCAGCUGUGCUUAUAGGUAGGGCAACUGUAAUUCUGCACAGUCUGAAGAGUUCAAAAAAGACUUCACUGAAUGCUUCCAAGAAAACUGUGAACUCAAGCAAACUGGUGAGAUCCUUCAUUCCAGUUGCCUUCUUUCUAUCCAAGAUCCGUUUGGCUUGAUGUAGCUCGUGCUUAACAUCAUCCAGGUUUGUAUUAUAAAUACUUUCCAAACACAACAGAGGAGUCUCCUUCAAAAAGCUGUUGCUUUUGGGGUUGACAGCUUGAAUCCUCUUCAUGAUGUCACAGUUUGUUUUGGAAAAACGCUUCUCUAGCGCAGCCUUCACAGUGUCUAAGAUAGGAUAAAACAGUCUGACAGAAAGAGUCUUUAUCUCUGUUUCUCUGACCAACUGUGGACGUAACAACAGAUUCAUGAAGAGCAGAGCUGAUCUUCGGCGACCCUAGACAGCCGGGUCAUAAUGUUUUUUGAGCAACACACUCAUACUAUGACAUUUUGACAAUGAUGGUUCUACUAUGGAACCAGUUUGACAUGUUCAGGUGUUCUUUGUGUGAAAACUCAGAGAUUUCAGGGAUCAGAAGGUGGUUUUCAACUUUCUUUGUUAACUUUCUGCUUCAACUUUAAACUAAAUUUCCUUCACUAAGCCAGCCCUCUGGACUUCCAGGAAGCUGUGUUCCUAUUGGCUGUCCAGGUGGCUGCUUGGUGGUAUCAGGAACACCUGAGCAGCUUGGUGGUAUCAGGAACACCUGAGCAGCUCAGUGUCUUCCUGCUUUAUUUAGCUGCAGACAAACAUUUCCUCUGUUUCUCUUCACCAGUGAACUGGGUUUGGUUCCGUUGCUUCAGUUUGUUCUUUAGGCGUUGGCUUGCAGCUUCCAGCAGUAAAAUCAUGUUUAAUGUGUUUCUUGGUGUGUUUUAGGGCUUUGUACUGGAUAGUUGUCUUGGUAAAUGUGGUUCUUUAGCCACAGUUAGCACAUGGUACUAAUGUGUGCAGUGAUUAGUGGAUUUGGUCCAGCUGAGUUGUGUCUGUAUCUUGGCUGUAGUGAGUCUUCAGAGGUUUUUGGUCAGACACAUUCUGUAUUCUUGUUUGAGAACCAACGUUGGUUGUCCAGAAGGUAAGAGUUCCUGUCCUGAUUCUCUGUUCUCAGAGGUUCUCUGGUAGGCUGCAGGAGACUUUAGCGUUUGGGUUGUGCUAGUUUGGUUUUUGUAUGGUUUCAUUUGGACGACUAUCUUGAGGCCCCUCCAUGUGGUUUAGUGAGGUUUUCUGGAACAGUUCUACAAAGCAACCUGCAGCAGAAGAGACUUUGAGAGUUUUUAGGAAGUUCUGGAGAGCAGACUUUAGAGCAGCAGAAACAUUUGUCAGCAGUUUGAGCAGGAGAAGGUGAGCUUCAGAGUAGAAAUGAGACAGAAACCGUCUUGACCCGUGUGGUGAGGUCCUGUACCAAGAGUUUGAGCAGGUUGUGAAGAGUCUGUAGUUCUUUGGUCUGAAAGCACAAGAAGAGUCGACUCAUUAAAGGAGAAAACAGGAGAUAUUGUUGGUUCUUCUGUCACUCUGCAGUUUCCUUAGACUGAAUAUCAAGUUUAUAUUUUAAAUGAUUUACCAUGUGAGCCCAAGAAGACUUCAAUAAACUCCCUCCAUCCCCUGGACACAACACAUUUUAUUACCAUGUUAAUUUUUUUUUUUUUAAAUAUGUUUUUGAGUUUUAAUCAUAGUUUUAGCAUAGUUUUUUCUCUUUGCUUGUUUAGUUUGUCAUCUGUGUAAAAGGUGCUAAACAAAUAAAGUUGAAUUGAUAAACUGAAUAAUUGAUUAACUCAUGAUUGUGACAACAGAAGUAUUUUCAUUGUGAUUUAAGGGUUUGUUUCAUUUUUAAGGUUGGGGUUAAAAUCUUGACAGAAAAAGACGAUUAAAGAAAUAAACUACAUAACAAAGAGC
Amphiprion ocellaris (clown anemonefish) is the source of this 1946-nucleotide long non-coding RNA. The record is from Ensembl. Lineage: Eukaryota; Metazoa; Chordata; Actinopteri; Pomacentridae.